GGCCUGCGGGUGCUAUACAUGCAGUCGAACGCUUCUUUCCUCCCGAGUGCUUGCACUCAAUUGGAAAGAGGAGUGGCGGACGGGUGAGUAACACGUGGGUAACCUACCCAUCAGAGGGGGAUAACACUUGGAAACAGGUGCUAAUACCGCAUAACAGUUUAUGCCGCAUGGCAUAAGAGUGAAAGGCGCUUUCGGGUGUCGCUGAUGGAUGGACCCGCGGUGCAUUAGCUAGUUGGUGAGGUAACGGCUCACCAAGGCCACGAUGCAUAGCCGACCUGAGAGGGUGAUCGGCCACACUGGGACUG
This 305-nucleotide ribosomal RNA is filed under the name uncultured Enterococcus sp. RNAcentral describes it as "bacterial SSU rRNA". It matches the Rfam family "Bacterial small subunit ribosomal RNA", at positions 42 to 321 of the family's 1533-position model. Lineage: Bacteria; Bacillati; Bacillota; Bacilli; Lactobacillales; Enterococcaceae. The record is from RNAcentral.